RNAcentral lists this ribosomal RNA (1133 nucleotides) under Stenotrophomonas sp. RNAcentral describes it as "bacterial SSU rRNA". It matches the Rfam family "Bacterial small subunit ribosomal RNA", at positions 51 to 1164 of the family's 1533-position model. The record is from RNAcentral. Lineage: Bacteria; Pseudomonadati; Pseudomonadota; Gammaproteobacteria; Lysobacterales; Lysobacteraceae.
ACACAUGCAGUCGAACGGCAGCACAGGAGAGCUUGCUCUCUGGGGUGGCGAGUGGCGGACGGGUGAGGAAUACAUCGGAAUCUACUCUGUCGUGGGGGAUAACGUAGGGAAACUUACGCUAAUACCGCAUACGACCUACGAAUAAAAGCCAGGGGACCUUCGGGCCUUGCGCGAAAUUGAAUGAGCCCAUGUGUCGGAUUAGCUUAGCUAUUGGCGGGGUAAAGGCCCACCAAGGCGACGAUCCGUAGCUGGUCUGAGAGGAUGAUCAGCCACACUGGAACUGAGACACGUCCAGACUCCUACGGGAGGCAGCAGUGGGGAAUAUUGGACAAUGGGCGCAAGCCUGAUCCAGCCAUACCGCGUGGGUGAAGAAGGCCUUCGGGUUGUAAAGCCCUUUUGUUGGGAAAGAAAUCCAGCUGGCUAAUACCGGUUGGGAUGACGGUACCCAAAGAAUAAGCACCGGCUAACUUCGUGCCAGCAGCCGCGGUAAUACGAAGGGUGCAAGCGUUACUCGGAAUUACUGGGCGUAAAGCGUGCGUAGGUGGUCGUUUAAGUCCGUUGUGAAAGCCCUGGGCUCAACCUGGGAACUGCAGUGGAUACUGGGCGACUAGAAUGUGGUAGAGGGUAGCGGAAUUCCUGGUGUAGCAGUGAAAUGCGUAGAGAUCAGGAGGAACAUCCAUGGCGAAGGCAGCUACCUGGACCAACAUUGACACUGAGGCACGAAAGCGUGGGGAGCAAACACGAUUAGAUACCCUGGUAGUCCACGCCCUAAACGAUGCGAACUGGAUGUUGGGUGCAAUUUGGCACGCAGUAUCGAAGCUAACGCGUUAAGUUCGCCGCCUGGCGAGUACGGUCGCAAGACUGAAACUCAAAGGAAUUGACGGGGGCCCGCACAAGCGGUGGAGUAUGUGGUUUAAUUCGAUGCAACGCGAAGAACCUUACCUGGCCUUGACAUGUCGAGAACUUUCCAGAGAAUGGAUCGGUGCCUUCGGGAACUCGAACACAGGUGCUGCAUGGCUGUCGUCACCUCGUGUCCGUGCACAUGUUGGGUUAAGUCCCGCAACGAGCGCAACCCUUGUCCUUAGUUGCCAGCGUAAGGUUGGGAACUCUAAGGAAACCGCCGGUGACAAACC